UGCAGGCGGUUUGUUAAGUCAGAUGUGAAAGCCCGGGGCUCAACCUCGGAACCGCAUUUGAAACUGGCAGGCUAGAGUCUUGUAGAGGGGGGUAGAAUUUCAGGUGUAGCGGUGAAAUGCGUAGAGAUCUGAAGGAAUACCAGUGGCGAAGGCGGCCCCCUGGACAAAGACUGACGCUCAGAUGCGAAAGCGUGGGUAGCAAACAGGAUUAGAUACCCUGGUAGUCCACGCCGUAAACGCUGUCUACUUGGAGGUUGAGGUUUAAGACUUUGGCUUUCGGCGCUAACGCAUUAAGUAGACCGCCUGGGGAGUACGGCCGCAAGGUUAAAACUCAAAUGAAUUGACGGGGGCCCGCACAAGCGGUGGAGCAUGUGGUUUAAUUCGAUGCAACGCGAAGAACCUUACCUACUCUUGACAUCCAGAGAACUUUCCAGAGAUGGAUUGGUGCCUUCGGGAACUCUGAGACAGGUGCUGCAUGGCUGUCGUCAGCUCGUGUUGUGAAAUGUUGGGUUAAGUCCCGCAACGAGCGCAACCCUUAUCCUUGUUUGCCAGCACGUAAAGGUGGGAACUCCAGGGAGACUGCCGGUGAUAAACCGGAGGAAGGUGGGGACGACGUCAAGUCAUCAUGGCCCUUACGAGUAGGGCUACACACGUGCUACAAUGGCAGAUACAGAGGGCAGCGAAGCUGCGAAGUGGAGCGAAUCCCUUAAAGUCUGUCGUAGUCCGGAUUGGAGUCUGCAACUCGACUCCAUG
This 753-nucleotide ribosomal RNA is filed under the name uncultured Salinivibrio sp. RNAcentral's name for it is "bacterial SSU rRNA". It matches the Rfam family "Bacterial small subunit ribosomal RNA", at positions 570 to 1322 of the family's 1533-position model. The record is from RNAcentral. Lineage: Bacteria; Pseudomonadati; Pseudomonadota; Gammaproteobacteria; Vibrionales; Vibrionaceae.